AGUGAACGCUGGCGGCGUGCUUAAUACAUGCAAGUCGAAGGAAGUGGCGCACGGGUGAGUAAUAUAUAUCUGAUCUUCCCCUUGCUGGAGGACAACCUUCAGAAAUGACUGCUAAUACUCCAUAGCAAUGGAUGAGACCAUAACGUAUCAGCUAGUAGUCGGGGUAACGGUCUACCGAGGCUAUGACGCGUAACUGGUCUGAGAGGAUGAGCAGUAACAUUGGAACUGAGACACCGUCCAAAAUCCUACGGGAGGGAGCAGUAGUGUAUAUCGCGCAUUGGGGGAGACCCUGACGCGGCAACGCCGCGUGGAGGAUGACACUUAUCGAGGCAUAAACUCCUUUUGUUAGAGAAGCGGUACCUAACGAAGAAGCACCGGCUAACUCCGUGCCAGCAGCCGCGGUAAUUC
This 408-nucleotide ribosomal RNA is filed under the name uncultured bacterium. RNAcentral's name for it is "partial 16S ribosomal RNA". It matches the Rfam family "Bacterial small subunit ribosomal RNA", at positions 29 to 526 of the family's 1533-position model. The record is from RNAcentral.